AUUUACUUAUUAAUAAAAUAAACAUUUUAUUUUUUAAUUUACAUCCAGGUUAGUUAGCAUACAGUGCAGUAAUGAUUCCAGUAGAUUCUAGUGAUUCAUCCUCUACAUAUAAUACCCAGUGCUCAUCCCAACAGGUGUCUUCCUUAAUGCCCCUUACCCACUUAGCCCAUCCCCUCACCUACACCCCUCCAGCA
Long non-coding RNA from Leopardus geoffroyi (Geoffroy's cat), 194 nucleotides. RefSeq lists it as uncharacterized. The transcript has 3 exons. The record is from RefSeq and is a predicted model, not a curated record. NCBI's taxonomy places the organism in Eukaryota, Metazoa, Chordata, Mammalia, Carnivora, Felidae.